AUAAUUUAUCGUUGACCCGGCCAA
This 24-nucleotide non-coding RNA is filed under the name Arabidopsis thaliana (thale cress). Lineage: Eukaryota; Viridiplantae; Streptophyta; Magnoliopsida; Brassicales; Brassicaceae. The record is from RNAcentral.